CCACGGCUUCAUUCUUGAAGUCAGUGAGACCAAGAACCCACCAAUUCCGGACACAGUGUCAGGCGCCUGUAGUCCCAGCUCCUCGGGAGGCUGAGGCAGGAGAAUGGCGUCAACCUGGGAGGCGGAGCUUGCAGUGAGCCGAGAUCACGCCACUGCACUCCAGCCUGGGCGACUGAGCAAGACUCCGUCUCAAAAGAACAGCAACAACAACAACAACAACAAACCAUAGUCCUUUGUCAGUCUUUAGUCUACUACUUCUGACCUAUUAACAGCUCCUGGCCUUCCAUUUCUAGUUAUCCCAGAAGGACAUACUGGAACACCUUGCAGGUUACACACUUUGAUGGCACUAACUGCAUGUUAGAAUUGUGUGGCAAAGAACUGAAGGCAUCAGUCCAAAAGCCCAAAGAACUAAAUACCGCCAACAACCCCAUGAACUUGGAAGUGGGUCCUUUCCCAGUGAGCUCUGGAGAUGACAAAAGACAGACAACACCUUGAUUGUAGUCUGUGAGAAAACCUGAAGCAGAAGACCCAGCUAACUUGUGCUCAGAUUCCUGACCAAUACAAAUUGUGAGACAAAUGUGUAAUUUUUUAAGCCAAGUUUUUGAUAAUGUAAUAUGAAGUGAUAGAUAACUAAUACAAAAUAGAGAACUGGAUACAUAUGUUCACGAGCUAUUCUGGCAUAAAAAUACAUUCAAUAAAAAACUUGUUGCUACUCUGUAAAAAAAAAAAAAAAA
RNAcentral lists this long non-coding RNA (734 nucleotides) under Homo sapiens (human). Its description in RNAcentral is "uncharacterized LOC105369879 (LOC105369879)". Lineage: Eukaryota; Metazoa; Chordata; Mammalia; Primates; Hominidae. The record is from RNAcentral.